UCAGCCACACUGGAACUGAGACACGGUCCAGACUCCUACGGGAGGCAGCAGUGGGGAAUAUUGCACAAUGGGCGCAAGCCUGAUGCAGCCAUGCCGCGUGUGUGAAGAAGGCCUUCGGGUUGUAAAGCACUUUCAGUCGUGAGGAAGGUAGUGUAGUUAAUAGCUGCAUUAUUUGACGUUAGCGACAGAAGAAGCACCGGCUAACUCCGUGCCAGCAGCCGCGGUAAUACGGAGGGUGCGAGCGUUAAUCGGAAUUACUGGGCGUAAAGCGCAUGCAGGUGGUUUGUUAAGUCAGAUGUGAAAGCCCGGGGCUCAACCUCGGAAUAGCAUUUGAAACUGGCAGACUAGAGUACUGUAGAGGGGGGUAGAAUUUCAGGUGUAGCGGUGAAAUGCGUAGAGAUCUGAAGGAAUACCGGUGGCGAAGGCGGCCCCCUGGACAGAUACUGACACUCAGAUGCGAAAGCGUGGGGAGCAAACAGGAUUAGAUACCCUGGUAGUCCACGCCGUAAACGAUGUCUACUUGGAGGUUGUGGCCUUGAGCCGUGGCUUUCGGAGCUAACGCGUUAAGUAGACCGCCUGGGGAGUACGGUCGCAAGAUUAAAACUCAAAUGAAUUGACGGGGGCCCGCACAAGCGGUGGAGCAUGUGGUUUAAUUCGAUGCAACGCGAAGAACCUUACCUACUCUUGACAUCCAGAGAACUUUCCAGAGAUGGAUUGGUGCCUUCGGGAACUCUGAGACAGGUGC
Molecule: ribosomal RNA, 745 nt
Filed under: Vibrio harveyi
Lineage: Bacteria; Pseudomonadati; Pseudomonadota; Gammaproteobacteria; Vibrionales; Vibrionaceae
Description: bacterial SSU rRNA
Rfam family: Bacterial small subunit ribosomal RNA
Source: RNAcentral